UACAGAGGGUGCGAGCGUUGUCCGGAAUCACUGGGCGUAAAGGGCGCGUAGGUGGCGCCGCAAGUCCAUGGUGAAAGCUCGAUGCUCAACAUCGAGUCGGCCACGGAGACUGCGGGGCUCGAGCACUGUAGGGGCAGAUGGAAUUCCGGGUGUAGCGGUGGAAUGCGUAGAGAUCGGGAGGAACACCAGAGGCGAAGGCGGCGACCUGGACAGUGACUGACACUCAACUGCGAAAGCGUGGGGAGCAAACAGG
RNAcentral lists this ribosomal RNA (253 nucleotides) under uncultured bacterium. Its description in RNAcentral is "partial 16S ribosomal RNA". It matches the Rfam family "Bacterial small subunit ribosomal RNA", at positions 524 to 776 of the family's 1533-position model. The record is from RNAcentral.